Tribolium castaneum (red flour beetle) is the source of this 1710-nucleotide long non-coding RNA. RefSeq lists it as uncharacterized. The record is from RefSeq and is a predicted model, not a curated record. NCBI's taxonomy places the organism in Eukaryota, Metazoa, Arthropoda, Insecta, Coleoptera, Tenebrionidae. The transcript is spliced from 2 exons.
UCUUACGAAAGCGCUGAAGGGUCACACACAAAAAAUUUUUUAGACUAAAUUGCCAGUUAGUAAGUCAGAAUUGCGAGAUACUAAGUCGGAAUUGCGAGAUACUAAGUCGGAAUUGCCAGUUAGCUAGUCAGAAUUGCGAGAUACUAAGUCGGAAUUGCGAGAUACUAAGUCGGAAUUGCCAGUUAGUAAGUCAGAAUUGCGAGAUACUAAGUCGGAAUUGCGAGAUACUAAGUCGGAAUUGCCAGUUAGUAAGUCAGAAUUGCGAGAUACUAAGUCGGAAUUGCCAGUUAGUAAGUCAGAAUUGCGAGAUACUAAGUCGGAAUUGCGAGAUACUAAGUCGGAAUUGCCAGUUAGUAGGUGGCAAUGUACAGAUAGUAAUUAUCAAUCAAUAAUAAGAAUAGAUAACAGUCCAUUUACAGUUUCGUUGUGGGAUGGUUUACAGUGCGAUUAAACAUACUAAGUUGUUUAACUUGUAGAAAGUGCAAGUUGUUAUCUAGUUUCCAUAGCUUUAGAGUAUGGAAGUUGAUUCUUUACUUAAAUUUUAUUUUCGUUUGGGUUUACGGCAUGCUGAAAUCUUAUCUUUCCUGGUUCUUCGACACGGAGUGUUUAUAAGUGAAAGCACUUUAAAAAGAGCUUUGAGAAGACUACAACUAUUUCGAAGAAAAAGGUAUUCACGUCUGCAAAAUGUUAUGGUAUUCUUACAAGAAGAAAUUCAAAAAUCUGGACAAUUGCAUGGAUAUAGAUGGAUGCACUUGAGAUGCCUUCAAAAAGGUUUUAUAGUACGUCAAGAAACAGUACGCUUCAUACUUCAGAUAAUUGAUCCUGUUGGAGUUGAGUAUAGAAGAAGAAAAAGGUUACGGCGAAGACAAUAUUUCAAUAAAGGACCCAAUUUUCUUUGGCAUGUAGAUUCCUAUGAUAAGCUUAAACCAUAUGGUAUUGCAAUAAAUGGUUGCAUAGAUGGAUUUUCUAGAUCCAUAAUGUGGCUUGAGGCUGGAAGUACAAGCAAUGAUCCUCGAGUUAUUGCUGGCUACUUUUUAAAAACAGUGUAUCGUUGUGGAGGAUGCCCACGUACUGUUCGUACUGAUAUGGGUACAGAAAAUUAUUAUCUAGAACAAAUUCAACUUUUCUUUAAGCGUCUUGAAGAUGAUGAACAUGCUCCACCAGCUUUCAUAUAUGGAGCUAGUACAGCAAAUCAAAAAAUUGAAUGUUGGUGGUCUAUCCUACGCAGACAUAAUGCUCAAUUUUGGAUGAAUUUAUUUAGUAAACUAAAGGAAGACGGAUAUUUUGCAGGAACAUUUCUUGACAAGUCUCUAAUUCAGUUUUGUUUCAUGGAUAUAAUUCGAGAUGAACUGGACGAAAUAUGCUUAGAAUGGAACUCACAUUCAAUCUCAAGUUCUAGGAACAGUAUAAAUCCAACAGGUAGACCCUUUGUGAUGUAUAAUAUGCCAGAACUGUAUGAAUCUUCUGAUUACCUAUUACAAGUGCCAGAUGAUGAAAUAGAAGUUGUGAAAAAUGAGUGUACAUUUUUGGACAAAAGAAUGCCUUGUGAUAAAGACAUUUUUGAACUGUGUAAUGUACUAAUAGAAGAAGGGCACUUAGAAAAACCUUCUGAUCCAUACAAUGCAGUUAAUCUGUACGUAUAUCUCCGAACUCAAAUAUUAAACUUAUUAUAAUGUAAAUUAUUAAUAAAGUAUGUUAAAGUAAACACGA